CAUGGAUGAAAGAGCUAGCUGAUUAUUCAAAUGUUCAUAUCAUGGGUACUAGUGCAGGUGGUAACAUUGCUUACCACGCAGGUUUACGUGUUCUGGAUACGGACAUUAGUCCUAUCCAGGUGAAAGGGCUGAUUCUGAAUCAGCCCUUUUUCGGUGGAGUUCAACGAACUCCAUCUGAAGAGAGGUUAAGCAGAAAUCCUUAUCUACCGGUGACCGUGAGUGAUCUCCUUUGGUUGUUGUCAUUGCCACCUGGAAGUGACCGUGAUCACGAGUAUUCUAACCCAUUGGAUGUUGUUAAUCCGAAGAUUCAG
Molecule: long non-coding RNA, 311 nt
Filed under: Daucus carota (carrot)
Lineage: Eukaryota; Viridiplantae; Streptophyta; Magnoliopsida; Apiales; Apiaceae
Description: long non-coding RNA (DCAR_LNC005114)
Source: RNAcentral